Molecule: transfer RNA, 66 nt
Filed under: Clusiodes albimanus
Lineage: Eukaryota; Metazoa; Arthropoda; Insecta; Diptera; Clusiidae
Description: tRNA-Ser
Source: RNAcentral
GAAGUAAAUGUUUAUGAAAAAGCUGCUAACUUUAUCUAAUAAUGGUUAAAUUCCAUUUAUACUUCU